CGGUGGCGCGGGCGUUCCAAACAGCCGAAGAGGUGCCUCUGGGCGAGGUCCUGCCCGAGGUCCAGGCGGCGCUCACGGCCUACCCGGGCGAGCCCUUGC
This 99-nucleotide non-coding RNA is filed under the name Pseudopedinella elastica. Lineage: Eukaryota; Dictyochophyceae; Pedinellales. The record is from RNAcentral.